Molecule: ribosomal RNA, 471 nt
Filed under: uncultured organism
Description: partial 16S ribosomal RNA
Rfam family: Bacterial small subunit ribosomal RNA
Source: RNAcentral
CACUCCUGCGGGAGGCAGCAGUGGGGAAUAUUGCACAAUGGGCGCAAGCCUGAUGCAGCCAUGCCGCGUGUAUGAAGAAGGCCUUCGGGUUGUAAAGUACUUUCAGCGGGGAGGAAGGUGUUGAGGUUAAUAACCUCAGCAAUUGACGUUACCCGCAGAAGAAGCACCGGCUAACUCCGUGCCAGCAGCCGCGGUAAUACGGAGGGUGCAAGCGUUAAUCGGAAUUACUGGGCGUAAAGCGCACGCAGGCGGUCUGUCAAGUCGGAUGUGAAAUCCCCGGGCUCAACCGGGGAACUGCAUUCGAAACUGGCAGGCUAGAGUCUUGUAGAGGGGGGUAGAAUUCCAGGUGUAGCGGUGAAAUGCGUAGAGAUCUGGAGGAAUACCGGUUGCGAAGGCGGCCCCCUGGACAAAGACUGACGCUCAGGUGCGAAAGCGUGGGGAGCAAACAGGAUUAGAAACCCGGGUAGUCCC